RNAcentral lists this ribosomal RNA (383 nucleotides) under uncultured bacterium. RNAcentral's name for it is "bacterial SSU rRNA". It matches the Rfam family "Bacterial small subunit ribosomal RNA", at positions 28 to 412 of the family's 1533-position model. The record is from RNAcentral.
GACGAACGCUGGCGGCGUGCUUAACACAUGCAAGUCGAGCGGUAAGGCCCUUUCGGGGGUACACGAGCGGCGAACGGGUGAGUAACACGUGGGUGACCUGCCCUCAGCUCUGGGAUAAGCCUGGGAAACCGGGUCUAAUACUGGAUAUGACUCCAUGACGCAUGUUGUGGGGUGGAAAGCCUUGUGCGGCUGAGGAUGGGCCCGCGGCCUAUCAGCUUGUUGGUGGGGUGANGGCCUACCAAGGCGACGACGGGUAGCCGGCCUGAGAGGGCGACCGGCCACACUGGGACUGAGACACGGCCCAGACUCCUACGGGAGGCAGCAGUGGGGAAUAUUGGACAAUGGGGGCAACCCUGAUCCAGCGACGCCGCGUGUGUGAAGAA